RNAcentral lists this long non-coding RNA (183 nucleotides) under Pan troglodytes (chimpanzee). RNAcentral's name for it is "lincRNA". RNAcentral also lists the same sequence under 1 other name. The record is from RNAcentral. Lineage: Eukaryota; Metazoa; Chordata; Mammalia; Primates; Hominidae.
AUAGCAAGCGGCAGUUAUGGAGCAUGCGCAGCAGCAGGGGCGGCCGCAGUCAAGGGAUUUGUACAGCCCUGUAGGAGACACCUCCAGAGAAAGUAACAGCUCUCAAUUGAUUAGCUGAGGAGACCGAUUUUGUAAAUCACUACUUUUCUAACAACACUGGCACAGAUGGCCAAGCAUUCUCCC